AGUCGAACGACUCUGGUAUUGAUUGGUGCUUGCAUCAUGAUUUACAUUUGAGUGAGUGGCGAACUGGUGAGUAACACGUGGGAAACCUGCCCAGAAGCGGGGGAUAACACCUGGAAACAGAUGCUAAUACCGCAUAACAACUUGGACCGCAUGGUCCGAGUUUGAAAGAUGGCUUCGGCUAUCACUUUUGGAUGGUCCCGCGGCGUAUUAGCUAGAUGGUGGGGUAACGGCUCACCAUGGCAAUGAUACGUAGCCGACCUGAGAGGGUAAUCGGCCACAUUGGGACUGAGACACGGCCCAAACUCCUACGGGAGGCAGCAGUAGGGAAUCUUCCACAAUGGACGAAAGUCUGAUGGAGCAACGCCGCGUGAGUGAAGAAGGGUUUCGGCUCGUAAAACUCUGUUGUUAAAGAAGAACAUAUCUGAGAGUAACUGUUCAGGUAUUGACGGUAUUUAACCAGAAAGCCACGGCUAACUACGUGCCAGCAGCCGCGGUAAUACGUAGGUGGCAAGCGUUGUCCGGAUUUAUUGGGCGUAAAGCGAGCGCAGGCGGUUUUUUAAGUCUGAUGUGAAAGCCUUCGGCUCAACCGAAGAAGUGCAUCGGAAACUGGGAAACUUGAGUGCAGAAGAGGACAGUGGAACUCCAUGUGUAGCGGUGAAAUGCGUAGAUAUAUGGGAAGAACACCAGUGGCGAACGCGGCUGUCUGGUCUGUAACUGACGCUGAGGCUCGAAAGUAUGGGUAGCAAACAGGGAUUAGAUACCCUGGUAGUCCAUACCGUAAACGAUGAAUGCUAAGUGUUGGAGGGUUUCCGCCCUUCAGUGCUGCAGCUAACGCAUUAAGCAUUCCGCCUGGGGAGUACGGCCGCAAGGCUGAAACUCAAAGGAAUUGACGGGGGCCCGCACAAGCGGUGGAGCAUGUGGUUUAAUUCGAAGCUACGCGAAGAACCUUACCAGGUCUUGACAUACUAUGCAAAUCUAAGAGAUUAGACGUUCCCUUCGGGGACAUGGAUACAGGUGGUGCAUGGUUGUCGUCAGCUCGUGUCGUGAGAUGUUGGGUUAAGUCCCGCAACGAGCGCAACCCUUAUUAUCAGUUGCCAGCAUUAAGUUGGGCACUCUGGUGAGACUGCCGGUGACAAACCGGAGGAAGGUGGGGAUGACGUCAAAUCAUCAUGCCCCUUAUGACCUGGGCUACACACGUGCUACAAUGGAUGGUACAACGAGUUGCGAACUCGCGAGAGUAAGCUAAUCUCUUAAAGCCAUUCUCAGUUCGGAUUGUAGGCUGCAACUCGCCUACAUGAAGUCGGAAUCGCUAGUAAUCGCGGAUCAGCAUGCCGCGGUGA
This 1340-nucleotide ribosomal RNA is filed under the name Lactiplantibacillus plantarum. Its description in RNAcentral is "bacterial SSU rRNA". It matches the Rfam family "Bacterial small subunit ribosomal RNA", at positions 60 to 1365 of the family's 1533-position model. Lineage: Bacteria; Bacillati; Bacillota; Bacilli; Lactobacillales; Lactobacillaceae. The record is from RNAcentral.